AGAGUUUGAUCAUGGCUCAGAACGUACGCUGGCGGCACGCCUAACACAUGCAAGUCGAACGAAGUAGCAAUACUUAGUGGCAGACGGGUGAGUAACAUGUGGGUAUCUGCCCUUUGGCCUGGAAUAACACGAGGAAACUUGUGCUAAUACCGGAUAAGUCUUUACGGAGAAAGCUUUAUGCACCAUUGGAUGAGCCCGCACUUGAUUAGUUUGUUGGUAGGGUAAUGGCCUACCAAGACUAUGAUCAAUAGCUGAUUUGAGAGGAUGAUCAGCCACAUUGGGACUGAGACACGGCCCAAACUCCUACGGGAGGCAGCAGUGGGGAAUCUUGCACAAUGGAGGAAACUCUGAUGCAGCGAUGCCGCGUGAGUGAAGAAGGCCCUUGGGUUGUAAAGCUCUUUCGUCGGGGAAGAAAAUGACUGUACCCGAAUAAGAAGGUCCGGCUAACUUCGUGCCAGCAGCCGCGGUAAUACGAAGGGACCUAGCGUAGUUCGGAAUUACUGGGCUUAAAGAGUUCGUAGGUGGUUGAAAAAGUUGGUGGUGAAAUCCCAGAGCUUAACUCUGGAACUGCCAUCAAAACUUUUCAGCUAGAGUAUGAUAGAGGAAAGCAGAAUUUCUAGUGUAGAGGUGAAAUUCGUAGAUAUUAGAAAGAAUACCAAUUGCGAAGGCAGCUUUCUGGAUCAUUACUGACACUGAGGAACGAAAGCAUGGGUAGCGAAGAGGAUUAGAUACCCUCGUAGUCCAUGCCGUAAACGAUGUGUGUUAGACGUUGGAAAUUUAUUUUCAGUGUCGCAGCGAAAGCGAUAAACACACCGCCUGGGGAGUACGACCGCAAGGUUAAAACUCAAAUGAAUUGACGGGGACCCGCACAAGUAGUGGAGCAUGUGGUUUAAUUCGAAGAUACGCGCAGAACCUUACCAACACUUGACAUGUUCGUCGCGACUCUAAGAGAUUAGAGUUUUCGGUUCGGCCGGACGAAACACAGGUGCUGCAUGGCUGUCGUCAGCUCGUGUCGUGAGAUGUUGGGUUAAGUCCCGCAACGAGCGCAACCCUCACUUUUAGUUGCCAUCAUUAAGUUGGGCACUCUGAAAGAACUGCCAGUGAUAAGCUGGAGGAAGGUGGGGAUGACGUCAAGUCCUCAUGGCCCUUACGUGUUGGGCUACACACGUGCUACAAUGGUAUCUACAACAGGAAGCAAAACGGCAACGUUAAGCAAAUCCCAAAAAGAUACCUCAGUUCGGAUUGCACUCUGCAACUCGAGUGCAUGAAGCUGGAAUUACUAGUAAUCGUGGAUCAGCGUGCCACGGUGAAUGCGUUCCCGGGUCUUGUACACACCGCCCGUCACACCAUGGGAGUUGGUUCUACCUUAAGGCAAGGUUUUAAACCCUUGACCACGGUAUAGUCAGCGACUGGGGUGAAGUCGUAACAAGGUA
This 1433-nucleotide ribosomal RNA is filed under the name uncultured bacterium. Its description in RNAcentral is "bacterial SSU rRNA". It matches the Rfam family "Bacterial small subunit ribosomal RNA". The record is from RNAcentral.